AGUGAACGCUGGCGGUAGGCCUAACACAUGCAAGUCGAACGGCAGCACAGGAGAGCUUGCUCUCUGGGUGGCGAGUGGCGGACGGGUGAGGAAUACAUCGGAAUCUACUCUGUCGUGGGGGAUAACGUAGGGAAACUUACGCUAAUACCGCAUACGACCUACGGGUGAAAGCAGGGGACCUUCGGGCCUUGCGCGAUUGAAUGAGCCGAUGUCGGAUUAGCUGGUUGGCGGGGUAAAGGCCCACCAAGGCGAAGGUCCGUAGCUGGUCUGAGGGGAGGAUCAGGCACACUGGAACUGAGACACGGUCCAGACUCCUACGGGAGGCAGGAGUGGGGAAUAUUGGACAAUGGGCGCAAGCCUGAUCCAGCCAUACCGCGUGGGUGAAGAAGGCCUUCGGGUUGUAAAGCCCUUUUGUUGGGAAAGAAAUCCAGCUGGCUAAUACCCGGUUGGGAUGACGGUACCCAAAGAAUAAGCACCGGCUAACUUCGUGCCAGCCGCCGCGGUAA
This 506-nucleotide ribosomal RNA is filed under the name uncultured bacterium. RNAcentral describes it as "partial 16S ribosomal RNA". It matches the Rfam family "Bacterial small subunit ribosomal RNA", at positions 29 to 523 of the family's 1533-position model. The record is from RNAcentral.